CUGCCCAGUGAUUUUAUAUUCAACGGCCGCGGUAUCCUAACCGUGCAAAGGUAGCAUAAUCAUUUGCCUAUUAAUUGUAGGCUAGAAUGAACGGAUUAACGAAAUAAAAACUGUCUCAGUUAGCACCCUAAAAACUAUUAUUUAUAUGAAGAAAUAUAAAUAAAAUCGAAGGACAAGAAGACCCUAUAGAGCUUUAUUUUUCAAAUAGAUGAAUUCUAUCCAAAAAUUCGGUUGGGGCGACCAAGGGCAAAUUUAUCACCCUUAACGUUAAAGAUAAACUUAUCAAUAUAAUGACCCUUUUAUAGAUCAUAAAAACAAGCUACCUUAGGGAUAACAGGCUAAUUCUAUUCAAGAGUUCAUAUUUACAAUAGAGUUUGGCACCUCGAUGUUGGCUUAGGAAUUCAAUAUAGCGCAAAAGUUAUAUAAAGAUGGUUUGUUCAACCAAUUAUUUCCU
This 454-nucleotide ribosomal RNA is filed under the name Benhamia sp. 1049. RNAcentral's name for it is "partial 16S ribosomal RNA". It matches the Rfam family "Bacterial large subunit ribosomal RNA", at positions 1859 to 2597 of the family's 2925-position model. The record is from RNAcentral. Lineage: Eukaryota; Metazoa; Annelida; Clitellata; Crassiclitellata; Acanthodrilidae.